UACGUAGGGGGCAAGCGUUGUCCGGAAUCAUUGGGCGUAAAGCGCGUGUAGGCGGCUUCGUAAGUCCGUUGUGAAAGUCCAGGGCUCAACCCUGGAAUGCCGAUGGAUACUGCGGAGCUAGAGUCCGGAAGAGGCGAGUGGAAUUCCUGGUGUAGCGGUGAAAUGCGCAGAUAUCAGGAGGAACACCAACGGCGAAGGCAGCACUCUGGGCCGGUACUGACGCUGAGGAGCGAAAGCGUGGGGAGCAAACAGG
Molecule: ribosomal RNA, 253 nt
Filed under: uncultured bacterium
Lineage: Bacteria
Description: partial 16S ribosomal RNA
Rfam family: Bacterial small subunit ribosomal RNA
Source: RNAcentral